UGAGAGGUUGAACGGCCACACUGGAACUGAGACACGGUCCAGACUCCUACGGGAGGCAGCAGUGGGGAAUUUUGCACAAUGGGGGAACCCCUGAUGCAGCAGACGCCGCGUGGAGGAAGAAGUUUUUCGGAUUGUAAACUUCUGUCGUCAGGAAGAUAAUGACAGUAGCUAAGAAGCAAGCCCUGGCUAAAUACGUGCCAGCA
RNAcentral lists this ribosomal RNA (203 nucleotides) under uncultured Clostridium sp. RNAcentral describes it as "partial 16S ribosomal RNA". It matches the Rfam family "Bacterial small subunit ribosomal RNA", at positions 293 to 513 of the family's 1533-position model. The record is from RNAcentral. Lineage: Bacteria; Bacillati; Bacillota; Clostridia; Eubacteriales; Clostridiaceae.